This 546-nucleotide ribosomal RNA is filed under the name Fritziana ohausi (Petropolis treefrog). Its description in RNAcentral is "partial large subunit ribosomal RNA". It matches the Rfam family "Bacterial large subunit ribosomal RNA", at positions 1832 to 2576 of the family's 2925-position model. The record is from RNAcentral. Lineage: Eukaryota; Metazoa; Chordata; Amphibia; Anura; Hemiphractidae.
CGCCUCUCGAACAAAUAUGAAAGGUCCAGCCUGCCCAGUGACUCUGUUCAACGGCCGCGGUAUCCUAACCGUGCAAAGGUAGCGUAAUCACUUGUCCUUUAAAUGAGGACUAGUAUGAACGGCACCACGAAGGUUACACUGUCUCCUCCUCCUAAUCAGUGAAACUGAUCUCCCUGUGAAAAAGCAGGGAUACACAUAUUAGACGAGAAGACCCUAUGGAGCUUUAAACAAAACAACAGCCGCCACCUUAUUUAAACUUCAGAGCACUCACCCCACAUUCUGGCGGCAUGAUUGUUAGUUUUGGGUUGGGGUGACCGCGGAGAACAAACCAACCUCCGCACUGGAAGGGACCUCCCCCUAAGCAAAAAACCACAAUUUUACGCAUCAACAAAUUGACACCAAUUGACCCAAUAUUUUGAUCAAUGAACCAAGUUACCCUAGGGAUAACAGCGCAAUCCAUUUUGAGAGCCCAUAUCGACAAAUGGGUUUACGACCUCGAUGUUGGAUCAGGGUACCCAAGUGGUGCAGCCGCUGCUAAAGGUUCGU